This 345-nucleotide unclassified non-coding RNA is filed under the name soil metagenome. Its description in RNAcentral is "partial contains 5.8S ribosomal RNA, internal transcribed spacer 2, and large subunit ribosomal RNA". The stretch from base 1 to 119 matches the Rfam family "5.8S ribosomal RNA", at positions 35 to 154 of the family's 154-position model. The record is from RNAcentral.
GAUGAAGAACGCAGCGAAAUGCGAUACGUAAUGUGAAUUGCAAAUUCAGUGAAUCAUCGAGUCUUUGAACGCACAUUGCGCCCCCAGGUAUUCCGGGGGGCAUGCCUGUCCGAGCGUCAUUGCUGCCCUCAAGCACGGCUUGUGUGUUGGGCCCCGUCCUCCGAUUCCGGGGGACGGGCCCGAAAGGCAGCGGCGGCACCGCGUCCGGUCCUCGAGCGUAUGGGGCUUUGUCACCCGCUCUGUAGGCCCGGCCGGCGCUUGCCGAUCAACCCAAAUUUUUAUCCAGGUUGACCUCGGAUCAGGUAGGGAUACCCGCUGAACUUAAGCAUAUCAAUAAGCGGAGGA